AUUGAACGCUGGCGGCAGGCCUAACACAUGCAAGUCGAGCGGAGGAAGGGAGCUUGCUCCUGGAUUCAGCGGCGGACGGGUGAGUAAUGCCUAGGAAACUGCCUGGUAGUGGGGGAUAAAGUCCGGAAACGGGCGCUAAUAACGCAUACGUCCUGAGGGAGAAAGGGGGGGAGCUUGGGAGCUCACGCGAUCAGAUGAGCCUAGGUCGGAUUAGCUAGUUGGUGGGGUAAAGGCCUACCAAGUCGACGAUCCGUAACUGGUCUGAGAGGAUGAUCAGUCACACUGGAACUGAGACGCCGUCCCGGCUCCUACGGGAGGCAGCAGUGGGGAAUGUUGGACAGUGGGCGGAAGCCUGAUCCAGCCAUGCCGCGUGUGUGAAGAAGGUCUUCGGAUUGUAAUGCACUUUUAGUUGGGAUGAAGGGCAGUAAGUUAGUACCUUGCUGUUUUGACGUUACCAGCAGAAUAAGCACCGGCUAACUUCGUG
RNAcentral lists this ribosomal RNA (484 nucleotides) under uncultured bacterium. Its description in RNAcentral is "partial 16S ribosomal RNA". It matches the Rfam family "Bacterial small subunit ribosomal RNA", at positions 30 to 507 of the family's 1533-position model. The record is from RNAcentral.